This 212-nucleotide unclassified non-coding RNA is filed under the name Hevea brasiliensis (rubber tree). The record is from RNAcentral. Lineage: Eukaryota; Viridiplantae; Streptophyta; Magnoliopsida; Malpighiales; Euphorbiaceae.
AAGUCUCAUCAACUACCACAUCAGAGGCCAGAACUUGUCCUUUGCGCAUUACUGUUAGUAUUGAAGAUGUUAAAACAACUCUCUUCACGGAAGGAAAUUUUGCACAUGAUUUGAGAAUGUUUAGGGUUCCCUUUAUUGCAGGUUCAAGAAUUUCUGCCUGAGGUUCAUUUGUUGAACGAAUAACAGGAGAAGCUGUGUGAAAUACACCUUCA